GAACCGUACGAACGUUAUUCGGAAUCACUGGGGCUUAAAGGGUGCGCAGGCGGCCUGUCAAGUUGGGUGUGAAAUCCCUCGGGCUCAACCGAGGGAAUUGCGCUCAAAACUGGCAGGCUUGAGGAAGACAGAGGUGAGCGGAACUCAGGGUGGAGCGGUGAAAUGCGUUGAUAUCCUGGGGAACACCAGUAGCGAAGGCGGCUCACUGGGUCUUUUCUGACGCUCAGGCACGAAAGCUAGGGGAGCGAACGGGAUUAGAUACCCCGGUAGUCCUAGCUGUAAACGAUGAGCACUGGGUUGGAGGGUCCUCCAUAGCCUUCCAGCCGUAGCGAAAGUGUUAAGUGCUCCGCCUGGGGAGUAUGGUCGCAAAGGCUG
RNAcentral lists this ribosomal RNA (375 nucleotides) under uncultured organism. Its description in RNAcentral is "partial 16S ribosomal RNA". It matches the Rfam family "Bacterial small subunit ribosomal RNA", at positions 527 to 896 of the family's 1533-position model. The record is from RNAcentral.